Molecule: ribosomal RNA, 256 nt
Filed under: uncultured bacterium
Lineage: Bacteria
Description: partial small subunit ribosomal RNA
Rfam family: Bacterial small subunit ribosomal RNA
Source: RNAcentral
AGGACGAACGCUGGCGGCGUGCUUAACACAUGCAAGUCGAGCGGUGAUCCUCCUUCGGGAGGUGAUCAGCGGCGAACGGGUGAGUAACACGUGGGCAACCUGCCCCUCACACUGGGAUAACCUCGGGAAACCGGGGCUAAUACCGGAUACGACCUCGAGCGGCAUCUCUUGAGGUGGAAAGCUCCGACGGUGAGGGAUGGGCCCGCGGCCUAUCAGCUUGUUGGUGGGUAAUGGCCUACCAAGGCGACGACGGGUA